CCCUUCACUCGACAAAUGGGGAUGUUAAGGCCCAGAAAGGCAAAGAAAGUUCCCCAAGGUCACAAGAUCAAUUGGCCACAUAGUUGAGGCUGGCUAAGAGAAAAGAAUAAUUUCUUGCUGGAUUCUUGGGAGAACCAUACAGGAAUAAGGUGUGACGGGACAGGGAGGAAGAUUAGAGCAAAACAAGGGAGUUGAAGUGAGGGAGUUAGGAGAACCUGGAUACCCCAGAAAACGCCAGCUCCAAUGUAGCCCACCCUGGCAGCCCAGGUGAUGGUGAGAGAUGCAACUCACUUCUUCUGCUUCUUCUCCAGCUCAUGGUUUCGACUUUGUUGGUUCUCUAGCAGGACGCAGGUAUCCUCAAGGUCACAGAGCAGUCUCUGGAUAGAAGAUCCACAUGUACAGACAAUAUUUUUCAUGUCUCACAGUGACCAGCAUUUGUAAUAAUAGUGGAGAUGGAAAAACCUUAAGGGGUUUGUGUCCUCUUCCUCCCUCUUCAGGCUCAGCUAAUACCUCGAUCACCCACAGUGGAGGUGAGAGCCUGCCCACUCUCUAACACUUCUGUGGCCCAGACUAUCCCCACAUCUUACCUUUUGCUCCAGCUCUUUCCUGGCUGUCAGCUCCGAGUCCAGCCUCUCCUCGCAUUGCUGCAGACGCUUUCUGAGGAACUCGUUCUCCAUCUGAGCACAGUCGAAGCGCAUCUGCCACUCGUCUGCUGUUUAACGGAGU
This 726-nucleotide long non-coding RNA is filed under the name Homo sapiens (human). RNAcentral describes it as "MYO18B antisense RNA 1". The record is from RNAcentral. Lineage: Eukaryota; Metazoa; Chordata; Mammalia; Primates; Hominidae.